This 253-nucleotide ribosomal RNA is filed under the name uncultured microorganism. RNAcentral's name for it is "partial 16S ribosomal RNA". It matches the Rfam family "Bacterial small subunit ribosomal RNA", at positions 524 to 776 of the family's 1533-position model. The record is from RNAcentral.
UACGGAGGGGGCAAGCGUUGUUCGGAAUUACUGGGCGUAAAGCGCACGUAGGCGGUUUUGUAAGUCUGGGGUCAAAGGCGACAGCUCAACUGUCGUAAGGCCUUAGAUACUAUAGAACUGGAGUGCCAGAGAGGAUGGCGGAAUUCCCUGUGUAGCGGUGAAAUGCGUAGAUAUCGGGAGGAACACCAGUGGCGAAGGCGGCUUCCUGGCCUGUUACUGACGCUGAGAUGCGAAAGCGUGGGGAGCGAACGGG